AGCAGCCGCGGUAAUUCCAGCUCCAAUAGCGUAUAUUAAAGUUGUUGCAGUUAAAAAGCUCGUAGUUGAAUUUCGGGGUCAGCAGGUUGGUCGUGCCAACGGUAUGUACUGGCUUUGCUGAUUCCUCCUUCUUGUGGAACUGUAAUGCCAUUAAUUUGGUGUUGCAGGGAAACAGGACUGUUACUUUGAAAAAAUUAGAGUGUUUAAAGCAGGCUUACGCUUGAAUACAUUAGCAUGGAAUAAUGAAAUAGGACGUUGAUCCUAUUUUGUUGGUUUCUAGGAUUGACGUAAUGAUUAAUAGGGAUAGUUGGGGGCAUUAGUAUUCAAUUGUCAGAGGUGAAAUUCUUGGAUUUAUUGAAGACUAACUACUGCGAAAGCAUUUGCCAAGGAUGUUUUCAUUAAUCAAGAACGAAAGUUAGGGGAUCGAAGACGAUCAGAUACCGUCGUAGUCUUAACCAUAAACUAUGCCGACUAGGGAUCGGAUGAUGUUAAUUUUUAAUGACUCAUUCGGCGCCUUAAC
Molecule: ribosomal RNA, 520 nt
Filed under: uncultured Glomus
Lineage: Eukaryota; Fungi; Glomeromycota; Glomeromycetes; Glomerales; Glomeraceae
Description: SSU rRNA
Rfam family: Eukaryotic small subunit ribosomal RNA
Source: RNAcentral